This 648-nucleotide ribosomal RNA is filed under the name Lunella smaragdus. Its description in RNAcentral is "partial 12S rRNA". It matches the Rfam family "Bacterial small subunit ribosomal RNA", at positions 528 to 1384 of the family's 1533-position model. The record is from RNAcentral. Lineage: Eukaryota; Metazoa; Mollusca; Gastropoda; Trochida; Turbinidae.
GACAAACUAGGCCAAAUUAAGAUAAGAACAGUAAAAAAGGGGGUUAAAAGGUUGGUAAUUUAAAAGUUAUUAUUAAGUUGAUAACAAUUUAUUAGGGGAAAAUUAUAUUUUCUAAAGAGGUGGAAUUUGCAUAGAAUAAGUAAUUUAUUGUUUCCUUUACCUUGAAGCCCCGAAAUCUUGAUUAAAGACCGGGAUUAGAUACCCCGUUAUUCGAGAUGUAAAUCUUGACUUCAGAACAUUUUACUUGAGUAUUACGGGCUCUAUAAUUUAGUAUUAUAGCGGUAGCCUAAAACUCAAAAAACUUGGCGGUGCCUUAAAUCCUUUCAGGGGAACCUGUCCUGUAAUUGAUAGUCCACGAUUUAUCUUUCCUAUUUUUGAAUAAAAUCAGUUUGUAUACCGUCGUCGUCAGAUUACCUCUAAGAGUAAAGAAGUUAUCAAUAAGAAAACCAUACUGUAAAUUGAUAUAGAAUAUUCAUUUAUAUUAUGUUUUCUAGACGUCAGAUCAAGGUGCAGCCAAUAAAUAGGAAGAGAUGGGUUACAAUAAGUAAUUAUUAUACGGAUUUCUUUUUGUAAAAUAAGUUUAAAGGCGGACUUGAAAGUAAUUGAAGAGAAGUAGAGAGUCUCGGUGAAGAUGGCUCUAAGGCGUGC